AAUGAACGCUGGCGGUAGGCCUAACACAUGCAAGUCGAACGGCAGCACAGUAAGAGCUUGCUCUUACGGGUGGCGAGUGGCGGACGGGUGAGGAAUACAUCGGAAUCUACUUUUUCGUGGGGGAUAACGUAGGGAAACUUACGCUAAUACCGCAUACGACCUACGUGUGAAAGCAGGGGAUCUUCGGACCUUGCGCGAUUGAAUGAGCCGAUGUCGGAUUAGCUAGUUGGCGGGGUAAAGGCCCACCAAGGCGACGAUCCGUAGCUGGUCUGAGAGGAUGAUCAGCCACACUGGAACUGAGACACGGUCCAGACUCCUACGGGAGGCAGCAGUGGGGAAUAUUGGACAAUGGGCGCAAGCCUGAUCCAGCCAUACCGCGUGGGUGAAGAAGGCCUUCGGGUUGUAAAGCCCUUUUGUUGGGAAAGAAAAGCAGCAGGUUAAUACCCCGCUGUUCUGACGGUACCCAAAGAAUAAGCACCGGCUAACUUCGUG
Molecule: ribosomal RNA, 492 nt
Filed under: uncultured bacterium
Lineage: Bacteria
Description: partial 16S ribosomal RNA
Rfam family: Bacterial small subunit ribosomal RNA
Source: RNAcentral